This 540-nucleotide ribosomal RNA is filed under the name uncultured bacterium. RNAcentral's name for it is "bacterial SSU rRNA". It matches the Rfam family "Bacterial small subunit ribosomal RNA", at positions 971 to 1509 of the family's 1533-position model. The record is from RNAcentral.
UUACCUGGCCUUGACAUACUAAGAACUUUCCAGAGAUGGAUUGGUGCCUUCGGGAACUUAGAUACAGGUGCUGCAUGGCUGUCGUCAGCUCGUGUCGUGAGAUUGUUGGGUUAAGUCCCGCAACGAGCGCAACCCUUUUCCUUAUUUGCCAGCGGGUUAAGCCGGGAACUUUAAGGAUACUGCCAGUGACAAACUGGAGGAAGGCGGGGACGACGUCAAGUCAUCAUGGCCCUUACGGCCAGGGCUACACACGUGCUACAAUGGUCGGUACAAAGGGUUGCUACCUCGCGAGAGGAUGCUAAUCUCAAAAAGCCGAUCGUAGUCCGGAUCGCAGUCUGCAACUCGACUGCGUGAAGUCGGAAUCGCUAGUAAUCGCGGAUCAGAAUGCCGCGGUGAAUACGUUCCCGGGCCUUGUACACACCGCCCGUCACACCAUGGGAGUUUGUUGCACCAGAAGUAGGUAGUCUAACCGCAAGUAGGACGCUUACCACGGUGUGGCCGAUGACUGGGGUGAAGUCGUAACAAGGUAAGCGUAGAUGA